CGAGCUUGUGAAAGCUUGAGGAAACUCCGCCCACCGUGCAGAGUUGCAGCACCUGAAAAGGUGCAGGGCGAGAGCCUUGGCAACAGAGCAGAAACGAAACGUCCAUCCAGCGAUGUGACUAUGAUACAUGCUAAGUUGUUGAGGAUGCUGGAUGGAAACGGUGAAACGGCUGUCCUGCAAGGUG
RNAcentral lists this RNase P RNA (184 nucleotides) under Candidatus Bathyarchaeota archaeon. Its description in RNAcentral is "RNase P RNA component". It matches the Rfam family "Archaeal RNase P", at positions 21 to 191 of the family's 288-position model. From Rfam's summary of the family: Ribonuclease P (RNase P) is a ubiquitous endoribonuclease, found in archaea, bacteria and eukarya as well as chloroplasts and mitochondria. Lineage: Archaea; Thermoproteati; Candidatus Bathyarchaeota. The record is from RNAcentral.